Bombyx mori (domestic silkworm) is the source of this 451-nucleotide RNA transcript. RefSeq lists it as uncharacterized. NCBI's taxonomy places the organism in Eukaryota, Metazoa, Arthropoda, Insecta, Lepidoptera, Bombycidae. The record is from RefSeq and is a predicted model, not a curated record. The transcript has 2 exons.
UUAACACAUUAAUCAAAUUACUUUCUUUAUUAUUCAUAAACUGUAAAUAAUUAAAACAAUGAUUAAAACGGCGAAUAAUAAAAAUCUUAUUACUUGACACUGGCUAAUGUACAAACCGUGCCGGAGCCAAAAAAAAGAGAAGAAAGGUUGGCGCGACAUUUAAUUUCCGAUUUUUGCAUCAAAACAAUUUUUCUUUAGUGCCGAGAAAACAUAGAAAUUCUAAAAAAAAAAACAAAAACUUAACAAGAGGAAACUAAUACCUAUGUAACAUUUUUAAUCAUAAGACUUUCCGAAUAUGUACCUACCUAAUGGAAAGUCAUCGUUUACGGAAAGAAAAAGUUCGCAUGGCUUAGUGUAAACGCAUGCUGUGAAUUAUAUUAAUCUGUUCGAAAUGAUGACGGAUGCAAUGCCGGAUUUUUUUUUAUAUAAAUGAACGAAAUUUAUUUUGAAA